This 460-nucleotide ribosomal RNA is filed under the name uncultured bacterium. RNAcentral describes it as "partial 16S ribosomal RNA". It matches the Rfam family "Bacterial small subunit ribosomal RNA", at positions 338 to 795 of the family's 1533-position model. The record is from RNAcentral.
CCUACGGGUGGCAGCAGUGAGGAAUAUUGGUCAAUGGACGAGAGUCUGAACCAGCCAAGUACCGUGAAGGAUGACUGCCCUAUGGGUUGUAAACUUCUUUUAUAUGGGAAUAAAAUGUUCCACGUGUGGGAUUUUGUAUGUACCAUAUGAAUAAGGAUCGGCUAACUCCGUGCCAGCAGCCGCGGGAAUAAGGAGGAUCCGAGCGUUAUCCGGAUUUAUUGGGUUUAAAGGGAGCGUAGGUGGAUUGUUAAGUCAGUUGUGAAAGUUUGCGGCUCAACCGUAAAAUUGCAGUUGAAACUGGCAGUCUUGAGUACAGUAGAGGUGGGCGGAAUUCGUGGUGUAGCGGUGAAAUGCUUAGAUAUCACGAAGAACUCCGAUUGCGAAGGCAGUUCACUGGACUGCAACUGACACUGAGGCUCGAAAGUGUGGGUAUCAAACAGGAUUAGAUACCCCUGUAGUC